This 654-nucleotide long non-coding RNA is filed under the name Linum usitatissimum (flax). RNAcentral's name for it is "long non-coding RNA (LUSI_LNC003865)". Lineage: Eukaryota; Viridiplantae; Streptophyta; Magnoliopsida; Malpighiales; Linaceae. The record is from RNAcentral.
CAGAAUUAGCACAUGAAACUCUGUCUUGCUGAACAUGUGCUUGUAAAGGCCAUAGAACAAGGAGAACAUGUCUCCCCAAGUCGAGUAAUUGUAUCGAUUCUUCCCUUCUCCGGUUUAGCAGAAACAAUGCCUCAGUUACCCUAAAUUGAUUCCAUCACAACACCAUAGAGAUCAACGAUCCCGAACAACAAAGUACUAAUCAAAUGGCAUUCAUUCAACCAGAAUAUCCUGAACAAGAUGAUACACAAUCAGCAUCAUAAGGCCUAAAUGAACAGAUCAAGCGAUUCUAACAUCUCAAACACACGAUGAAACAUCUCUGAGCAGCAGAAUCUAAUCAUCCAACUCCGCAAUCACCAUUUACAGCGGCAACUAAUGAUCAAAUGGCAAUCGUUCAAUUCAACCACAAUGUCUAACAAUCUAAUAUAACAAGUUAUUUCUCAAGUCAACUAUAUCCCUGGACAAAACCUCCAGAUCGAGCAAACUGUUCACCGACAAACGAAUAUCUCGAUCCCAUCCAAUACACAAUUCUAUCAGAAUGAAUCAACGAUCAAAACAAUUCUUACUACAGAUAGCUGCGGCACACGGCGGAGAUCACGCCGGAGUUCCGAGUCGGCUGAGCUCUGAGCUGCUUCCUCUUCUUCUUUACAGUUCUUC